Molecule: transfer RNA, 85 nt
Filed under: Candidatus Peribacteraceae bacterium
Lineage: Bacteria; Candidatus Peregrinibacteriota; Candidatus Peribacteria; Candidatus Peribacterales
Description: tRNA-Leu
Rfam family: tRNA
About the family: Transfer RNA (tRNA) molecules are approximately 80 nucleotides in length. Their secondary structure includes four short double-helical elements and three loops (D, anti-codon, and T loops). Further hydrogen bonds mediate the characteristic L-shaped molecular structure. tRNAs have two regions of fundamental functional importance: the anti-codon, which is responsible for specific mRNA codon recognition, and the 3' end, to which the tRNAs corresponding amino acid is attached (by aminoacyl-tRNA synthetases). tRNAs cope with the degeneracy of the genetic code in two manners: having more than one tRNA (with a specific anti-codon) for a particular amino acid; and 'wobble' base-pairing, i.e. permitting non-standard base-pairing at the 3rd anti-codon position.
Source: RNAcentral
GCGCGGGUGGCGGAAUUGGUAGACGCGCUAGCUUGAGGGGCUAGUGACCAUCAUGGUCGUGGAGGUUCAAAUCCUCUCUCGCGCA